GUGUAAAUCAGCUCUUUCUAUGUAGUAUGAUAAUUGCUCUGAAAGAGCUUUGCCUAAAAUGCAAAGGGGAAGACCCAGAUUUUGAUAAAGAUGGCAGGGCAUGGAGGUCAGGGCAAAUGUUCCUGGAGAGGUGACACUUGAAUCCCAUCUAAAGGAGCAGUUGGAAUGAGGAGAAGGGAAACUGUGGGUAAAAGCAUGGAGGCCUGCUGUGACCUGCAGGUUGGGCUGGUGGACCAAAGGGUACCUGUGGUUCAUUACCUGUAAGAUAGGUGGAUGGACAGGUGAGCAGCAAGACCCAAGAGUUGAGGCAGUCUUCUGAAGAUGAUGGACUCGCAGUGGAAGCUUUGAGCAGACGAGCACUACUAGAUGUGUGCUCUAGAAAGACUUCUCUGGUAAAGAGUGAAAGUGGGGCAUAGGAAUAUAGUGUGAGAGGCUAUGGCAGCAACGCUGGGGAAAUGACACUGACUAAACUGAGGCAAUGGCUGUGGGAAUGAAGAGGGGAGUCCAGAAAUGCCUGGGAGAUGGGUUAGAUGACACAUAGUGAUCAAUUGUACAUAAGGUAAACAGGGAGGGACAUUCCUGGCUUGAGUGACCAGGUGGAUGGUAGCGUAGUUCACCACAGGAGGAAAUGCUGGGACAGGAGCAGCUUGGGCAAAGCUGAUACUGAGUUCAUGUUGAGCCCCAGAGGCCUAUGAGGAGCUAGCUGGUCAACAGGCAGUUGGAUACAAGGUCUCAAUAGAUUGGUCUAGGCCAGAGACAGAGAGCUGGGAGGUGAUAACAGAAGCCACAUUUGGGGUUGAAUAUGCUCCAAGAGUGGCAGAGCGGGAAGGGAGACAGGAAGGAACCAUGGAGGUUAUUCUGUGCAGGAGGAGGAAGAAAACUCAGUGAAGGAGACCAAGGGAAGCAUCCGGAGGACUAGGAGAGAAUAUGGAAAAAAUUGUCACACAGGUUCCCACAGAAGAAAAAUGGUUUCCAGAACGCGGAAGUGGUCCAUGACGCCAGAUGUUGCAGAUAGAGCAAAUAAGGGAGAACAUCCCAGGGCAGAAAGGAAAGCCUAAAGCUACAGCCUGUUCCUCCAGUUCUUAGAACGGCUGGUUACUGAGCUCUCAGGCCAGACAGUUGGAAACAUCUGGAAACUCCUUGGGGGAGAUCUGCCGUGUGGCCUCCGUUGAACUGUAGACUCCUGCAUAGCCUUCCAAAGUUCUUCAUUUGGUGAAUAUUAUGAGAAAUGACACGUAUGUCUUUCUCCCAAAUACAUAGCUUGAACCCAAAGUACAGUGAAAUCAGAACUGACCACAGAAUAAUUGGGGGAAGGGAGUUGUGACAUAAAGCUCUCAUCACUUUGUAAAAGUACUUGCUACUGAUUACAUUAAAAACUAGUCUUCUUGAGUAAAACA
Non-coding RNA from Macaca mulatta (Rhesus monkey), 1397 nucleotides. Lineage: Eukaryota; Metazoa; Chordata; Mammalia; Primates; Cercopithecidae. The record is from RefSeq and is a predicted model, not a curated record.